Molecule: ribosomal RNA, 320 nt
Filed under: uncultured Prevotella sp.
Lineage: Bacteria; Pseudomonadati; Bacteroidota; Bacteroidia; Bacteroidales; Prevotellaceae
Description: bacterial SSU rRNA
Rfam family: Bacterial small subunit ribosomal RNA
Source: RNAcentral
GAUGAACGCUAGCUACAGGCUUAACACAUGCAAGUCGAGGGGCAGCAUGAUCUUAGCUUGCUAAGGUUGAUGGCGACCGGCGCACGGGUGAGUAACGCGUAUCCAACCUGCCCCACAGUAGGGAACAGCCCGGCGAAAGUCGGAUUAAUGCCCUAUGCGCUCCAUUGCAGGCAUCUAACGUGGAGCAAAGAUUUAUCGCUGUGGGAUGGGGAUGCGUCUGAUUAGGCAGCAGGCGGGGUAACGGCCCACCUGGCCCACGAUCAGUAGGGGUUCUGAGAGGAAGGUCCCCCACAUUGGAACUGAGACACGGUCCAAACUCC